UGGGCAUACCAGUUCAAGGACAUGGCAUAAGCCAGCCAAAGGGUGAGAAAGGACUUAGCUGCAUCUCUGAGGAAUCACCGAGCCAGCGAGCUGCACAGGAGCAGGAAGGAGUGACGGCAGACCCGAGUUAGCACCCUCUGAGCCAAGCACCUUCCCUGCCAAGGCACAGACAAGCCCAGCCCUGGGACCCAAGUCAGGGAGAUGGGCAACCCCACCCAUCCCACCUCAGAUAGAGGCUCUGUGCACUCCUAGAGCCUUCAGUUCAGCCCAGAGGGGAGAGGGAGGAAAACAGAGAGAAGAGAGGAGCUGGAAAUGAACUGGUUCAUAAGGCCUGGAUUGACAAAGAAAAAGCUCAGAAAUUACUGCAUUCAGUUGCCUGCAUCAGACCACUUGGCUUACAAUCAGAGUUCAGAAGUCACAUGGUCAGAGUAAGUGUCAGGGUGGCACUGACCAGCACUGUGAUCCUGGGCGAAUUGUUUUACUUCUCCAGGCCCUGUGACCCAGCCUUCAAAAUGAGUUUUCUCCCAGCCCUGGGAGUGUACAGUUCUAUAGCCCCCAAGGCGGCCCGCAGGUGGCUCAGGCCGAGCUUCUACUCCAUGCCUCGUGGUUGUGGGCCCAGAGGAGGCCUGGCGACAGAGGGCAGGGAAGGACCGGGCCCAGCCUCCUUUGUCAUUUUCCUUUAUACUGUGCAGCUACAUGGGAGAAUUUCCCAGUCUGUGCUGAGAAUACUUCCCUUGUCCCCACUUUUGAAAUCAUCCUGUAGAGGGCACAGUGUCCUCAUCCCGGCGGCUUCCAUGGUUAGUCAAGUCCUGAAGGCUUUUCUGUCCAUCUGCUGAUCUACACAAAUCACUGAGGACGGCACUUUGGGAACAGGCAUAUCAGGGAGCACAGGAGGGGCCUUUGACUGUGAGGAGCUCACAGUAGCUCUCAAGAAGAAAAGACACGGACCUAUUCCAGUAAACCAGAGACAUACUCACGUGGACAGGCUAAGAUAGCAAACAGAUUCUAGAUGCUUAAGAAUUCAGAAGGAGGCCAAGCAUGGUGGCUCAGGCCUGUAAUCCCAGCACUUUGGGAGGCCGAGGCGGGCGGAUCACCUGAGGUCAGGAGUUCAAGACCAGCCUGGCCAACAUGGUAAAACCCCAUCUCUAUAAAAAUACAAAAAUUAGUUGGGCAUGAUGGUGGGUGCAUGUAAUCCCGGCUACUCGGGAGGCUGAGGCAGGAGAAUCGCUUGAACCAGGGAGGCAGAGGUUGCAGUGAGCUGAGAUCAUGCCACUGCACUCCCGCCUGAGCAACAAGACUCUAUCUCAAUUAAAAAAAAAAAAAAAAAA
RNAcentral lists this long non-coding RNA (1328 nucleotides) under Macaca fascicularis (crab-eating macaque). Its description in RNAcentral is "lncRNA (ENSMFAG00000050598.1)". The record is from RNAcentral. Lineage: Eukaryota; Metazoa; Chordata; Mammalia; Primates; Cercopithecidae.